GCCCAGCCGUAAACUUUUACUUACACCAACAAUCGCCUGGGAAUUACGAGCAAAGCUUAAAACCCAAAGGACUUGACGGUACCCCACAUCCACCUAGAGGAGCCUGUCCUAUAAUCGAUAAUCCACGCUUAACCUCACCACUUCUAGCCCAUCAGCCUGUAUACCUCCGUCCUCAGCUUACCUCGUGAGUGUAACCUAGUAAGCCUAAUGCCCGUACGCCAACACGUCAGGUCAAGGUGCAGCAAAUGAAGCGGGAAGAGAUGGGCUACACUCUCUAACUUAGAAAACACGAAAGACUACAUAUGAAACCUAGUCGGAAGGCGGAUUUAGAAGUAAAAAGAAAAUAGCAUGUUCUUUUUAACCCGGCACUGGGGUGUGUACACACCGCCCGUCACCCUCUUCAUGAAAACUAAAAAGUACCUAACAAUACCAACUCAACUAGAAGAGGUAAGUCGUAACAUGGUAAGUAUACCGGAAGGUGUGCUUGGAAA
This 491-nucleotide ribosomal RNA is filed under the name Proceratophrys schirchi (Santo smooth horned frog). Its description in RNAcentral is "partial small subunit ribosomal RNA". It matches the Rfam family "Bacterial small subunit ribosomal RNA", at positions 794 to 1522 of the family's 1533-position model. Lineage: Eukaryota; Metazoa; Chordata; Amphibia; Anura; Alsodidae. The record is from RNAcentral.